RNAcentral lists this ribosomal RNA (1487 nucleotides) under uncultured marine bacterium. Its description in RNAcentral is "partial 16S ribosomal RNA". It matches the Rfam family "Bacterial small subunit ribosomal RNA". The record is from RNAcentral.
UGAUCCUGGCUCAGAUUGAACGCUGGCGGUAUGCUUAACACAUGCAAGUCGAACGGAAACGAUACUAGCUUGCUAGUAGGCGUCGAGUGGCGGACGGGUGAGUAACGCGUAGGAAUCUGCCUGAUAGUGGGGGAUAGCCCGGAGAAAUUCGGAUUAAUACCGCAUAAUCUAUUCGUAGUAAAGUGGGGGACUUUCGAGCCUCACGCUAUCAGAUGAGCCUGCGUAAGAUUAGCUAGUUGGUAGGGUAAAAGCCUACCAAGGCGACGAUCUUUAGCUGGUCUGAGAGGAUGAUCAGCCACAUCGGGACUGAGACACGGCCCGAACUCCUACGGGAGGCAGCAGUGGGGAAUAUUGGACAAUGGGGGCAACCCUGAUCCAGCAAUACCGCGUGUGUGAAGAAGGCCUGAGGGUUGUAAAGCACUUUCAAUUGUGAAGAAAAGUUAGCGGUUAAUAACCGUUAGCCUUGACGUUAACUUUAGAAGAAGCACCGGCUAACUCCGUGCCAGCAGCCGCGGUAAUACGGAGGGUGCAAGCGUUAAUCGGAAUUACUGGGCGUAAAGCGUGCGUAGGCGGUUUAUUAAGUCAGAUGUGAAAGCCCCGGGCUUAACCUGGGAACUGCAUUUGAAACUGGUAAACUAGAGUAUGGUAGAGGAAAGUGGAAUUUCUGGUGUAGCGGUGAAAUGCGUAGAUAUCAGAAGGAACAUCAAUGGCGAAGGCAGCUUUCUGGACCAAUACUGACGCUGAGGUACGAAAGCGUGGGAAGCAAACAGGAUUAGAUACCCUGGUAGUCCACGCCGUAAACGAUGAUAACUAGCCGUUGGGGGGAUUUACCCUUUAGUGGCGAAGCUAACGCGUUAAGUUAUCCGCCUGGGGAGUACGGCCGCAAGGUUAAAACUCAAAUGAAUUGACGGGGACCCGCACAAGUAGUGGAGCAUGUGGUUUAAUUCGAAGAUACGCGCAGAACCUUACCAACACUUGACAUGUUCGUCGCGACUUUAAGAGAUUAAAGUUUUCGGUUCGGCCGGACGAAACACAGGUGCUGCAUGGCUGUCGUCAGCUCGUGUCGUGAGAUGUUGGGUUAAGUCCCGCAACGAGCGCAACCCUCACUUUUAGUUGCCAUCAUUAAGUUGGGCACUCUGAAAGAACUGCCAGUGAUAAGCUGGAGGAAGGUGGGGAUGACGUCAAGUCCUCAUGGCCCUUACGUGUUGGGCUACACACGUGCUACAAUGGUAUCUACAACAGGAAGCAAGACGGCGACGUUAAGCAAAUCCUUAAAAGAUACCUCAGUUCGGAUUGCACUCUGCAACUCGAGUGCAUGAAGCUGGAAUUACUAGUAAUCGUGGAUCAGCGUGCCACGGUGACUGCGUUCCCGGGUCUUGUACACACCGCCCGUCACACCAUGGGAGUUGGUUCUACCUUAAGGCAAGGUUUUAAACCCUUGACCACGGUAUAGUCAGCGACUGGGGUGAAGUCGUAACAAGGUAACC